GAUCCUGGCUCAGGAUGAACGUUAGCGGCAGGCUUAACACAUGCAAGUCGAGGGGCAGCGGGGUGUAGCAAUACACUGCCGGCGACCGGCGCACGGGUGCGUAACGCGUAUGCAACCUACCCAUAACAGGGGCAUAACACUGAGAAAUUGGUACUAAUUCCCCAUAACAUUCGAAGAGGCAUCUCUUUGGGUUGAAAACUCCGGUGGUUAUGGAUGGGCAUGCGUUGUAUUAGCUAGUUGGUGAGG
This 246-nucleotide ribosomal RNA is filed under the name uncultured bacterium. RNAcentral describes it as "partial 16S ribosomal RNA". It matches the Rfam family "Bacterial small subunit ribosomal RNA", at positions 15 to 257 of the family's 1533-position model. The record is from RNAcentral.